CAGCCGCCACGGGAAUACAGAGGGUGCGAGCGUUAAUCGGAAUUACUGGGCGUAAAGCGCGCGUAGACGGUUUUGUAAGUCAGAUGUGAAAUCCCUGGGCUCAACCUGGGAACUGCAUUUGAUACUGCAUGGCUAGAGUAUCGAAGAGGGAAGUGGAAUUUCCGGUGUAGCGGUGAAAUGCGUAGAUAUCGGAAGGAACACCAGUGGCGAAAGCGACUUCCUGGUCGAAUACUGACGUUCAUGUGCGAAAGCGUGGGGAGCAAACAGGAUUAGAUACCCCUGUAGUCCCUGUCUCUUAUAC
RNAcentral lists this ribosomal RNA (301 nucleotides) under uncultured bacterium. RNAcentral describes it as "partial 16S ribosomal RNA". It matches the Rfam family "Bacterial small subunit ribosomal RNA", at positions 509 to 807 of the family's 1533-position model. The record is from RNAcentral.